UUCCAUGUAUGUAUAAAACCGGUACGAGCACUUUACACACAAAGUUUUGCAAACAUUUUCUGUUUCACGCACUUUCUCUCUCUUCACGUGUUGCACACGUGCUCCAGGGCGACCUUCCCUGACCGACCCAUUUCUGUUUUCUCCGUCGAGGAAGUAAUCCUCAGAAACCCUCCCAGCGCGUGCCAACUCCGAUAAGAGGAGUCAGUCAACGUCGAAGCGGUUGACACUUGCGCGCACGUGGCUGAAGGAGCGUGGGGAUGGGACAACCGGUGAGUGGCUUCUUCAAAUCCUGUUUUCG
This 298-nucleotide long non-coding RNA is filed under the name Carica papaya (papaya). RNAcentral's name for it is "long non-coding RNA (CPAP_LNC011213)". The record is from RNAcentral. Lineage: Eukaryota; Viridiplantae; Streptophyta; Magnoliopsida; Brassicales; Caricaceae.